RNAcentral lists this long non-coding RNA (527 nucleotides) under Homo sapiens (human). RNAcentral describes it as "non-protein coding lnc-BMP6-106:17". The record is from RNAcentral. Lineage: Eukaryota; Metazoa; Chordata; Mammalia; Primates; Hominidae.
UUCCAGUCCAGGGAUCACCGGUGGAGACCCAUUAGUCUAUGCCAUCCUAGUCCCACCCGCCUGACACCUCAUGCUCACCAGAAGGACACCUUGGGCUGACCAGAGAGGAGGGUUUCUGUGUGAGAAGCGAUUUGUGAAUGCAUCUCAUAAAUGCCCUGCUCUCAGCUGCUGAACAUUCUCCUGCUGAAAGGCAGGGAGCUAAUUAGCACAGCCACCUCGACAGCGUCUGUUCCAGUCACCCCUGCAUGCAUGCUAGAACACCUUUGAACAAUGGAUGACAGUCUGCAGAGAGCACAGAGCUCCCGGAGAACAUAAAAAUGCAAUGGAACAGAAUGAAGGGAUGCAAGUCACAAUCGUCUCAACUGCAAGUUGGCCAAAGUAAACAUUGCCCCAAAGUGCUCCCAAAGCUUGCUGGCACAUAAACAUGAAUGAAUGAACAAUGUAGAAUUCACUCAAGAAAUUUCAAGGAGAGAGAGGAGGAGAUUUACAUCACACAGCAAACAACCUAAUAAAUCUGUUAAACGCCA